Molecule: long non-coding RNA, 439 nt
Filed under: Ficedula albicollis (Collared flycatcher)
Lineage: Eukaryota; Metazoa; Chordata; Aves; Passeriformes; Muscicapidae
Description: lncRNA (ENSFALG00000026171.1)
Source: RNAcentral
UGUGGUCGGGGGUCGCAGGUGGUCCAGCGGUGCCGUGCUUGAGGAUGGAGGUAGAAAUCUUCUCACGGGGAGAGAGGAAGGGCCUGGAUCAUUUUCAAUAUGAUGCUUGGUUAUUCAAAAGACCACCUUGACACAAGUUUCCAGGAGCAGGUGAAUGAACUGGGCCUAAAACAAAACCUUCAGCUAGAGAGAUGAAGUCUGAGAAAACUCAAGAGAUAGUUAGAUGCCAGACUGACAUUUUCCAGAGCUAAGGAGAUGGAUACAUUACAGUCAACCCCAGCUGAUUGGAGGUAAUUAUAGGAAUGCCAUAUUCUUUAUUUGUUUGCUCCUUUUUUUUUUUAAUAUAAUAAACUUCCAGUGGAAUUGCUACCCCAGGAGGGAGUGAUUCAUUCCUGAAGGGAUCCAGGAGAAGUGUGUCUUUUGACACUUGUGUUUUGUU